This 253-nucleotide ribosomal RNA is filed under the name uncultured prokaryote. RNAcentral's name for it is "partial 16S ribosomal RNA". It matches the Rfam family "Bacterial small subunit ribosomal RNA", at positions 524 to 776 of the family's 1533-position model. The record is from RNAcentral.
UACAGAGGGUGCGAGCGUUGUUCGGAAUUAUUGGGCGUAAAGGGUGCGUAGGCGGUUUUGUAAGUCUGAUGUGAAAUCUAUGGGCUCAACUCAUAGUCUGCAUCGGAAACUGCAGGGCUCGAGUAUGGGAGAGGUGAGUGGAAUUCCUGGUGUAGCGGUGAAAUGCGUAGAUAUCAGGAGGAACACCUGUGGCGAAAGCGGCUCACUGGACCAUAACUGACGCUGAAGCACGAAAGCUAGGGGAGCAAACAGG